Molecule: ribosomal RNA, 228 nt
Filed under: uncultured bacterium
Lineage: Bacteria
Description: partial 16S ribosomal RNA
Source: RNAcentral
AAUCAACGCUGGCGGCGUGCCUAACACAUGCAAGUCGAACGCGGUUACUCCGCAAGGGUGACUGAGUGGCGAACGGGUGAGUAACACGUGGGUGAUCUACCUUCGAGUGGGGAGGUAACGUUACCGGUAAACGGAAACGGACUAAUUAACCGCCAUGACGUUCUUGGGUUUGGUAAGAACCUCGGAAACCGAAAACGACGUGGGGACCGGGCCAAGGACCGUCGGCGG